Molecule: transfer RNA, 71 nt
Filed under: Hyella patelloides LEGE 07179
Lineage: Bacteria; Bacillati; Cyanobacteriota; Cyanophyceae; Pleurocapsales; Pleurocapsaceae
Description: Hyella sp. LEGE 07179 tRNA
Rfam family: tRNA
About the family: Transfer RNA (tRNA) molecules are approximately 80 nucleotides in length. Their secondary structure includes four short double-helical elements and three loops (D, anti-codon, and T loops).
Source: Rfam by way of RNAcentral
UGGGGUGUCGCCAAGUGGUAAGGCAGCGGGUUUUGGUCUCGCCAUCCUAGGUUCGAAUCCUAGCACCCCAG